UUUGCUCUGUGUGGUUGUGAGUCAUAGAGGAAGAUUUUGGGGGAGUAGCUGCUGGUGUGAGGGCAAAUUCGGGGCUCUGACUGCUGAAGGUGUUGCUGUAACUAGUGCAGGCCCGGUCCUCUGCAAGGCUCUGCAGUGUUGUUCAUGUUGCAUCAAGUCAAUGAGAAGUGCAGGUGUCUUUCACUGAUGUUGCUGCACUGGCCAAGAGAUUGCAUGUCAGAUUUCACUGGUGGGACCACAAAGGGACUGCUAUCCAUCAAGGACGUACGGAGAAAGAGAAGUCAGCACAAGGAAAGUGCUUUAAAUGCGAUUUGUCUGGAAUAAGUUGCCUGAGAGCAAUUCCACAUGAGCAACACUAGCGUGAUGCUUUCUGUUCAGCCCUUAUUUAAAAUGAUUUAGAGAGAGUUUUGUUUUAAUAUGGAUAAUAAGGAGCAUCAAUCUAUUGUAUCAUGGUAUAACUUCAGAAGUAAAUGUUUGUUAUUACUGUGUUUAGUAAACAGUUCAAUUCAGUUGUCUGGCUUUUGUGUUAUCCAUUUUGAAAUGUGGUGAGAAAACAAAGUACACUUUCUUCCCAUGAGUUCCUGCUAUUGUAAAAAAACCUUCAUGCUAUCUGCUCUGCAAUGUUCUAUCUGUCCUGCAUCUUAGUAUCUGUA
Long non-coding RNA from Lagopus muta (rock ptarmigan), 653 nucleotides. RefSeq lists it as uncharacterized. The transcript has 3 exons. The record is from RefSeq and is a predicted model, not a curated record. NCBI's taxonomy places the organism in Eukaryota, Metazoa, Chordata, Aves, Galliformes, Phasianidae.